UACGAAGGGGGCGAGCGUCGUUCGGAAUUACUGGGCGUAAAGGGCGCGUAGGCGGCGACCCAAGUCAGAUGUGAAAGUCCUGGGCUUAACCUGGGGACUGCAUUUGAUACUGGGUUGCUUGAAUUCGGGAGAGGAUAGCGGAAUUCCCAGUGUAGAGGUGAAAUUCGUAGAUAUUGGGAAGAACACCGGUGGCGAAGGCGGCUAUCUGGACCGACAUUGACGCUGAGGCGCGAAAGCGUGGGGAGCAAACAGG
This 253-nucleotide ribosomal RNA is filed under the name uncultured bacterium. Its description in RNAcentral is "partial 16S ribosomal RNA". It matches the Rfam family "Bacterial small subunit ribosomal RNA", at positions 524 to 776 of the family's 1533-position model. The record is from RNAcentral.